UGUCACUUUCUCCGCGGACAGGCGUCGCUUCCAGCUCUGACAGGAGCUGCGGCUCGGAAGGUGAGAGGUCCCGGCGCUGGAAGAGCUGCUGUGGCUUCUGACCUGUGGGCCCUUCCUCACUUUCCCCGUGAAUUCUCCGCCGUGUCUGUCUCCCAGUGUCCGGGGUCCCACCGAGUAUACAGUAGGAUGUCCACAGCUGCUUCCUUCUCCCCAGGUCUAACCCCCAAAGCCCAGAGAUUUCUGGAUCCAAUCUUCCUUCCCGGCACCCCCAAUCUCAGCCCGUGUUCACCUCCCCCGCCCCAGUUUUGGCUUCUCUGGCCCCUCUGCUUCUUCCACCUCCUUCCUUCUCCUCUCCCUGCCUCCUGCUGGACCCCCUCCGCAACCUCUGUGGCCCCUUGGAGCCUGCCUCCUAGGCCCCUUCAGGUCUUGCGAUAUCACAACCCAGUGUGAGGAUCAGUUGGAACGAGAGGAAGCUCCUUGGACUCCAGAGGGAGAAGGUUCCCCCAGGGCAGCUGGGGGUGGUGGUGAUUGCGUUACUAGCCCUGAAAGCAAGGAGCCAUUUCCCAAGCAGGACACUUCUAUGGAACAGUCACCCCUGGAGACCCACUCAUGGAGUGAUUUGUCUCUAACCUAAGAGAAGCCUGGGAAUAUGUGGUGUUGACUUAGAGAAGCUGCAUAUCAAGGAAGACAAAUGUUCUCGGAAGUUCAAGGUCGGCCAGAGAAAUACUUCUGAUCAAGUGGAUGGGUAUGAAUGUAGGAAAAAUGAUAGAAGGGCUAGUCUAGGGCCUUUCCUUUUUCUAUGGCAGAGUGCAUGUAAUACACAGAGAAAGAGCUUCAGUAUGUAUUCUAAACUCAGUCUCUGGAAUACAAGCUGUUUCAAGAAGAUCAUUUCUCAGUUAAUUGAAUGUGGGAAAGCCCUCAUCCAUAAUCAACCAUUAAUAGCCCUCAGGCAGGACACACUGGAGCUAAAUCUAUUUCCCAGAUAAUGCUACUUACUGAACGUCUGGGAAGCCAUGUAGGAGAGAAAUUAUGUGAACAUAAGCUUGGGAAGGUCUGCAACUGUGGUUUGUCUCUUAUGCCUUAUUACAGGACUCACGCUAGCACAAAGUUAUAUGAAUGCAAUGAUUGUGGGAAAGCUUUCACUCAGAGUUCAUCCCUUACUUUCCAUCUUUGGAUUCAUUCUGAAGAGAAACCAUUUGGAUGUGGUGACUCUGGGAAGGCAUUUUGCCUGAACAAACAGCUUGUUAGACAGCAGAAAAUUCAUACUGGAGAGAAGCAGCCUUAUGAAUGGGAAGACCUUUCUCCAGACUACAGAACUUAAUCAACAUGGGAGUAUUCAUGCUAGAGAAAAACUAUAUAAGUGUAAUGAAUAUGGGAAGAUCUUCACCGAAGUUCAUCUUUUCUUUCCCAUCAGGCAAGUCAGAAAGAGAGAGAGAGAGAGAGAGAGAGAGAGAAACUUUGAGUGUCAUGUGGAAAGGGUUUCUGCUUGAGAAAACAGUUUACUGGACACCAGACAAUUCAUUCUGGAGAGAAACGUAGAAAGGCCUUCACCUGCAACUCUUCCCUUUUUCCCAUCAUAGGAUCCAUACUGGAGAGAGACCUUCUGAAUGUAAUGAAUAUGGCAGAGCCUUUAGCUGGAGAAUUAAUGUAUCAUCCAGAAUUCACCCCAGAGAGAGACCUUAUGUAUGCCUUGAAUGGGGACAGGCUUUGGCCUGAGGGUGAGCUUACUCCAGCCUGGAGCAUUCACCUUGGACAGAAACCAUCUGAGUGUGGGAAGGCCCAACUCCUCCCUUAUUUCCCAGCUCAGGGUUCACACUAGACAGGAGCUGUUUGAAUGUUGGGGAGACUCUUUUCUCCAGAGUAUACAACUCCCUUGACAUCAGGUGACUCAUGUUUAAGGGAGAGCCUGCUGACUGUCAUGCAAGGAUGUUGGCCACUGCAGGGAAGGCAGAGACUCAGAGCAAGGGCCUUCUUCCUACUCUGCUGCAUGCGACUUCACUCAGCUGCCUCCGAUCCCUCUUGGGCUCCUUGGCUCCUAGGAGGCAGACCAUUUCCUCCACUCCUGCCUUCCCUGCUUGGACUUCCUCCUGGUGCUGCCCUCUUCUCUCUCCUUCCUGUUUCCUAUCAUGAUUGGGUGAGAAAACUGGCAGGGGCUCCCUGGCUGUCCUUAGUGCCAGCCUUCUGAUUCCAGACCACUCCACGGUGCUGAAUAAAUGUCCGCUGGCCUGAUCAGCCAAAGAUUGGAGGAGGGGGUGGGGCCGUGUGAUGUCAUUUCUGCUCCUUGCUGCUUCCGCCAAGGCUUUUGAAGGCUGUCAAUUCCUGGGCUCUCUCCUCCUUGAGCUAGCCCGGUUAGCUCAGAGGCCUAUCUCUCUGCUUGGUUCCAAGAGCUCUUGCAGCUUUGUCCUUGGCGUCUGCCUCUGCUUUCUUCAGCCUCCAGCCAGCACCAAAGUGGAAGAUGCAAUGAAUCUCUCUUGCCUCCGAGAGAGGGCUUCUGGCUCUCAGUCUCCCAGAAUGCUGAAUCUCCAACCGUUCCCAAGUAAAAACUCUCGAGUGGCUCACUGGAGCUGUAUUUAUGCUGCUUCUCCGAGAGUGGGAUUGUGGGAUAUCUCCCAGCGUGCUCUCUGGCCCUCCAUCAAAGGAGAAUGGCUUGUAUCUUUAUAUAUUUGGAGAUUAUAUAUAUAUAUAUAUAUAUAUAUAUAUAUAUAUAUAUAUAUAUAUAUAUUAGAAAUGAGGCCUUUUUCAGAAAUGACCAAGUUACUCUAACCUGGGUUAGAAGCAAAAAUUGCUUUCUGGCUAGGAUAUAUCUGGGAGCCCUGAAAGAUACUGUCUGUAACAUUGAGUCUUCAUGACCUUUGAUUUCUUCAUUAUAAACCAGGUCCUCCUGUUUUCCCCACAAAGGAAAUGUCUAUGUGCAUUGGGUUGCACACAUAUUAUUGACAUAUACCACACAGUGACAGUAAAUGUUUUAUUUGUUUGAUCAGUUAAGGCAGAACUUUGGCCAGGUGCAUCUUUGGAGCUACAGCAAUAUGGAAUAUGUGUGUGUGCAUAUGUCUGUGAGGAAGGGGGUUUGUCAUUUUGUUUGUUAUGCCACUGAAAUAAAUGUCUUUUGCCUUAAUCUUUGUCUCCAG
Sarcophilus harrisii (Tasmanian devil) is the source of this 3128-nucleotide long non-coding RNA. NCBI's taxonomy places the organism in Eukaryota, Metazoa, Chordata, Mammalia, Dasyuromorphia, Dasyuridae. The record is from Ensembl.